This 563-nucleotide non-coding RNA is filed under the name Lytechinus variegatus (green sea urchin). Lineage: Eukaryota; Metazoa; Echinodermata; Echinoidea; Temnopleuroida; Toxopneustidae. The record is from RNAcentral.
GCCAAAGGCAAAGCUAAGUGAUAGAGGAUAUUGCGGUCAUGGCGGAUCGCAUUUUCUAACCCUAUGGUUUGUUAUUUGUAAAUUUGUGCAUUGUUUGUAGUUUUUCAUCUGGCUUUCUACAAACUUCAAGUUUACUUACGUUGUGUCAAGUGCGCAAAAAGCUGGACUACCCUCUAUAGCGAAGUCGGUCGGAUUUGACGUACUAAUCUCGCACGGUAUGCCUUGAGUAUUUCUCAUGGUCCUACAUGUUUAAAUAUGUGUAGGGUAUGGGUGUAAUAUUUCAACGUGUAUUGUUAGUGUUAAACGUUCGAUUUCAACAAGUAGUUAUUACGUUCACUGAGCCUCCUUUCCUAAGAACUACUGCCAGUCGCAUCAGUUGUAAGUAGGCGUCUGCUAACAGUCGUUGCAAAUUGGUUAGAAUGUUUUUGGAGGCCAAGAAGUGACCAGUUUUCAUAAACUGCUUGUUGGGAUGGAAAGUACAAGAUCAACUUGCCAAGCUCUAGUGCUGCUAAAUCUCGUACUGAAAGUUAAUAGUACGAGGUCACACAAAUCUUGGUACAUUA